AAAGUCGAGUUGGCUUAGGGAUACGUUCGUUGGGUAGGGGAGCGUUCUGUAAGCCAGUGAAGGUGUGUCGUGAGGCAUGCUGGAGGUAUCAGAAGUGCGAAUGCUGACAUAAGUAACGAUAAAGCGGGUGAAAAGCCCGCUCGCCGGAAGACCAAGGGUUCCUGUCCAACGUUAAUCGGGGCAGGGUGAGUCGACCCCUAAGGCGAGGCCGAAAGGCGUAGUCGAUGGGAAACGGGUUAAUAUUCCCGUACUUGGUGUUACUGCGAAGGGGGGACGGAGAAGGCUAUGUUGGCCGGGCGACGGUUGUCCCGGUUUAAGCGUGUAGGUGUGUGUUCCAGGUAAAUCCGGUUCACUUUAACACUGAGGCGUGAUGACGAGGCACUACGGUGCUGAAGCAACAAAUGCCCUGCUUCCAGGAAAAGCCUCUAAGCAUCAGGUAACAUCAAAUCGUACCCCAAACCGACACAGGUGGUCAGGUAGAGAAUACCAAGGCGCUUGAGAGAACUCGGGUGAAGGAACUAGGCAAAAUGGUGCCGUAACUUCGGGAGAAGGCACGCUGACACGUAGGUGAAGUGAUUUACUCAUGGAGCUGAAGUCAGUCGAAGAUACCAGCUGGCUGCAACUGUUUAUUAAAAACACAGCACUGUGCAAACACGAAAGUGGACGUAUACGGUGUGACGCCUGCCCGGUGCCGGAAGGUUAAUUGAUGGGGUCAGCGCAAGCGAAGCUCCUGAUCGAAGCCCCGGUAAACGGCGGCCGUAACUAUAACGGUCCUAAGGUAGCGAAAUUCCUUGUCGGGUAAGUUCCGACCUGCACGAAUGGCGUAAUGAUGGCCAGGCUGUCUCCACCCGAGACUCAGUGAAAUUGAACUCGCUGUGAAGAUGCAGUGUACCCGCGGCAAGACGGAAAGACCCCGUGAACCUUUACUAUAGCUUGACACUGAACAUUGAGCCUUGAUGUGUAGGAUAGGUGGGAGGCUUUGAAGUGUGGACGCCAGUCUGCAUGGAGCCGACCUUGAAAUACCACCCUUUAAUGUUUGAUGUUCUAACGUGGACCCGUGAUCCGGGUUGCGGACAGUGUCUGGUGGGUAGUUUGACUGGGGCGGUCUCCUCCUAAAGAGUAACGGAGGAGCACGAAGGUUGGCUAAUCCUGGUCGGACAUCAGGAGGUUAGUGCAAUGGCAUAAGCCAGCUUGACUGCGAGCGUGACGGCGCGAGCAGGUGCGAAAGCAGGUCAUAGUGAUCCGGUGGUUCUGAAUGGAAGGGCCAUCGCUCAACGGAUAAAAGGUACUCCGGGGAUAACAGGCUGAUACCGCCCAAGAGUUCAUAUCGACGGCGGUGUUUGGCACCUCGAUGUCGGCUCAUCACAUCCUGGGGCUGAAGUAGGUCCCAAGGGUAUGGCUGUUCGCCAUUUAAAGUGGUACGCGAGCUGGGUUUAGAACGUCGUGAGACAGUUCGGUCCCUAUCUGCCGUGGGCGCUGGAGAACUGAGGGGGGCUGCUCCUAGUACGAGAGGACCGGAGUGGACGCAUCACUGGUGUUCGGGUUGUCAUGCCAAUGGCACUGCCCGGUAGCUAAAUGCGGAAGAGAUAAGUGCUGAAAGCAUCUAAGCACGAAACUUGCCCCGA
RNAcentral lists this ribosomal RNA (1625 nucleotides) under Salmonella enterica subsp. enterica. RNAcentral's name for it is "partial 23S ribosomal RNA". It matches the Rfam family "Bacterial large subunit ribosomal RNA", at positions 1196 to 2802 of the family's 2925-position model. Lineage: Bacteria; Pseudomonadati; Pseudomonadota; Gammaproteobacteria; Enterobacterales; Enterobacteriaceae. The record is from RNAcentral.